AGAAAAAACAGAAAUUUCCUUAGUUGAGUGCAUCAAGAUAUGCGCCGGGCUUUACUUGCAAGAUCCGCAACAGUUUCAAAAAGAAAUAGAAGAACAAAAAGCGAAGAAUCUUUUCCCAUCUACACUUCCAUGAAACACCGUUUCCUCAUAAUCCAAAAAUUAGAGGAACGCGUCACAGAAAAAUAUUAGACAGUCGAUAUUACGUAGAUACAUGUAAGCGGACAAACACUAUGACGAUGACUUUGAGAACAUGAAAUAAAUCAUGAUAAUGCCAGUCCAUUUAAAGUCUCAUUUUCUUUUUUCUACCCUGCAGUAGCACUAUUAAAACAGCCCCGCUGGAAAGUCCACACCAGACAGCAAUUACCAUGAG
Molecule: long non-coding RNA, 370 nt
Organism: Lingula anatina
Lineage: Eukaryota; Metazoa; Brachiopoda; Lingulata; Lingulida; Lingulidae
Source: RefSeq, a predicted model, not a curated record